This 74-nucleotide transfer RNA is filed under the name Ruminococcus sp. RNAcentral's name for it is "tRNA-Ile". It matches the Rfam family "tRNA". From Rfam's summary of the family: Transfer RNA (tRNA) molecules are approximately 80 nucleotides in length. Their secondary structure includes four short double-helical elements and three loops (D, anti-codon, and T loops). The record is from RNAcentral. Lineage: Bacteria; Bacillati; Bacillota; Clostridia; Eubacteriales; Oscillospiraceae.
GGAACAUUAGCUCAGUUGGUUAGAGCAACCGGCUCAUAACCGGUAGGUCCCGGGUUCAAGUCCCUGAUGUUCCA